Paramuricea clavata is the source of this 212-nucleotide non-coding RNA. Lineage: Eukaryota; Metazoa; Cnidaria; Anthozoa; Malacalcyonacea; Plexauridae. The record is from the annotation of a GenBank genome assembly.
GGAGGUUGGGUUGAUCAAAAUGGCACUGAUUUGAUCGAGAUUUUAAAGAUGAACCAGCAUCCUUUGCGAUGGACGAUGUUUGAUGGUAAACUGCCCGCCAAGUUAUCUGCUCAUGACGUCACAGUUUACCAAGAUCAAUUAUAUAUCAUAGGAGGAGAUAACUGGAAUGAAAACAAACCAUCCGAUGCAAUUUAUGAACUAUCCCUUGCCCC